RNAcentral lists this ribosomal RNA (468 nucleotides) under uncultured bacterium. RNAcentral's name for it is "partial 16S ribosomal RNA". It matches the Rfam family "Bacterial small subunit ribosomal RNA", at positions 28 to 507 of the family's 1533-position model. The record is from RNAcentral.
GACGAACGCUGGCGGCGUGCUUAACACAUGCAAGUCGAACGGAAAGGCCCUGCUUUUGUGGGGUGCUCGAGUGGCGAACGGGUGAGUAACACAUGAGUAACCUGCCCUUGACUUGGGGAUAACUUCAGGAAACUGGGGCUAAUACCGGAUAGGAGCUCCUGCUGCAUGGUGGGGGUGGGAAAGUUUCGGCGGUUGGGGAUGGACUCGCGGCUUAUCAGCUUGUUGGUGGGGUAGUGGCUUACCAAGGCUUUGACGGGUAGCCGGCCUGAGAGGGUGACCGGCCACAUUGGGACUGAGAUACGGCCCAGACUCCUACGGGAGGCAGCAGUGGGGAAUAUUGCACAAUGGGCGGAAGCCUGAUGCAGCAACGCCGCGUGCGGGAUGACGGCCUUCGGGUUGUAAACCGCUUUCGCCUGUGACGAAGCGUGAGUGACGGUAAUGGGUAAAGAAGCACCGGCUAACUACGUG